RNAcentral lists this ribosomal RNA (800 nucleotides) under uncultured bacterium. Its description in RNAcentral is "bacterial SSU rRNA". It matches the Rfam family "Bacterial small subunit ribosomal RNA", at positions 703 to 1499 of the family's 1533-position model. The record is from RNAcentral.
GGAACACCAAAGGCGAAGGCAGGUCACUGGGCAGUUGCUGACACUGAGGCACGAAGGCCAGGGUAGCGAACGGGAUUAGAUACCCCGGUAGUCCUGGCAGUAAACGGUGCACGCUUGGUGUGGGGACAUUCGACCGUCUCUGCGCCGGAGCUAACGCGUUAAGCGUGCCGCCUGGGAAGUACGAUCGCAAGAUUAAAACUCAAAGAAAUUGACGGGGACCCGCACAAGCGGUGGAGUAUGUGGCUUAAUUCGAUGCAACGCGAAGAACCUUACCUGGUCUUGACAUGCAUUCUGUCGUCGGUGAAGGCCGGCUAGCGUAGCAAUACGCGGUUUGCACAGGUGCUGCAUGGCUGUCGUCAGCUCGUGUCGUGAGGUGUUGGGUUAAGUCCCGCAACGAGCGCAACCCCUGUGGUUUGUUGCCACCCGGUUUCCGGAGCACUCGAACCAGACUGCCUCGAUCAACGAGGAGGAAGGUGGGGAUGACGUCAAGUCCGUAUGGCCCUUACGGCCAGGGCUGCACACGUACUACAGUGCCCAGUACAGAAUGAACCGAAACCGCGAGGUGGGGGAAAUCUCGAAAACUGGGCCCAGUUCAGAUUGGAGUCUGCAACUCGACUCCAUGAAGUUGGAAUCGCUAGUAAUGGCGCAUCAGCUACGGCGCCGUGAAUACGUUCCCGGGUCUUGUACACACCGCCCGUCACAUCAUGGAAGCUGGUUUCGCCCGAAGUGCGUGCGCCAACCGCAAGGAGGCAGCGCCCUAAGGCAAGACUGGUGACUGGGAUGAAGUCGUAACAAGGUAA